CCUACGGGUGGCAGCAGUGGGGAAUAUUGGACAAUGGGGGAAACCCUGAUCCAGCGACGCCGCGUGAGUGAAGAAGUAUUUCGGUACGUAAAGCUCUAUCAGCAGGGAAGAAAAUGACGGUACCUGACUAAGAAGCCCGGCUAACUACGUGCCAGCAGCCGCGGUAAUACGGAGGGGGCAAGCGUUAUCCGGAUUUACUGGGUGUAAAGGGAGCGUAGACGGCAGCGCAAGUCUGGAGGUAAGUGCCGGGGACCAACCCCGGAAAUGCUCUUGAAACUGUGUAUCUUGCGUGCAGGAGAGGUAAGCGGAAUUCGUGGUGUAGCGGUGAAAUGCGUAGAUAUCAGGAGGAACACCGGCGGCGAAGGCGGCUUACUGGACUGUAACUGACGUUGAGGCUCGAAAGCGUGGGGAGCAAACAGGAUUAGAUACCCGUGUAGUC
This 439-nucleotide ribosomal RNA is filed under the name uncultured bacterium. RNAcentral's name for it is "partial 16S ribosomal RNA". It matches the Rfam family "Bacterial small subunit ribosomal RNA", at positions 338 to 795 of the family's 1533-position model. The record is from RNAcentral.